CCGCUCUUUCCUAUGUGCCUGUCCGCACAGCGAGGCUUUUGUACCAGGCCCACCAUUCUACCACGUGCUUGUCUAAAGCCCGGCACACUCCGCGCCCUCGGAGACUCGUGAUCAGCCUGCUGCGCGACUUCCCGUGUCGCUGGGUGACCCCGCGCCUCCCGGGGAGCACUGAAGAUGGUGGCAGGCCCCGCCCCCCGGAACUCGCAGCCCGGCUCUAGGACGCAGGACGGGGAGCUCUGGGCGAGCCGCGCUGUAACAGCGGGGAAGCGGGCGCCUCUGCGAGGGGCCCUGGCUUAGCUCGCGCCCAGGCCGGAGAACCCACGUGACCCAGGCGGCUUCCCGGGAUCCCCUGCACUUGCCCCGGAAGCGGAAGUGUGCAAACUGGGAGGUGAGAGGGUUGGGAGCGCAGGUGCCGCUAGCGCGCAGGGGUUUCGCCUCGUCCUUUGCCGGCCAUGGCGCGGAUCUCGCGCACGCUGCUCAUCUUCGGCGGGUUCGUGGCCGUGGUGGGGGCGGCGUUUUACCCCAUCUACUUCCGGCCGCUGCUGCAGGUGGAGCAAUACAUGACCGGUGCCAGAUGCUUCAGAGGGAAUGAACAGAACAGGGCAAUUAUCAAGUUAUCCAUCCCAUUGUCCAGUCCCAGAUCCUGGCAUUUGGAUGUUUAGAGACAUUCGGAGUAUGGGGUUGUGUCCAGAUCAUCUUGGCUAACAGCCAUCAGUGAGAAUCCUUCAUGAGAAUCAGAUUGCUUUUUGAACCCAGUUAUACUUUUGGCCUUCACAAGAUCCCAUGGCAGGAAGGACCAGGCAACAAAUCGAUCUGGUAUUGUUCAAGAGGAUGUUCAGCCUCCAGGGUUAAAAGUGUGGUCUGAUCCAUUUGGAAGGAAAUAACAACAUUGUCUGUGUACAUCACAAGGUGUGCCUGAAGAUGGAUAUGUUCAAAGCAACUGUUUUGACUCAUACACUAAUGAGUGUAUUGUUCGGGUGUUGCUGGAGAAGGAUUCUCAAUAUGGUAGUGACUUCAGUGAAUGCUGCUGGUUCUGAAGAUUAAUACUAAAUUUUUCUUUAGAGUUCCGUAGCUACUGGAACAAAAUGGACUGACACUGAGAUGGCUGAAUGAUUUUUUCGAGUUUCGAACUGAAACACUUUUUCAUACGUUUGAGGGAAGAGAAGAGAACUUGCUAUUGGGGUUAAUCUGUAGACAUUUAUAGAAUAAAUCUGAUCAGAAUAAAUUAUGCAGAUCAUUGUAGUUUACUCCUGUUUGAUUACAUAUGCAAGAUGAGUGAACAAUGCAGAAAGAAUGUAAUGUGAUAUAUCUGUAAAUCUGUAAACAGUAUUAAAAUCAUGUUUUUAUUUAAACUGA
Chrysemys picta bellii (western painted turtle) is the source of this 1356-nucleotide RNA transcript. It is a transcript of the gene named small integral membrane protein 20, with no coding region annotated. The record is from RefSeq and is a predicted model, not a curated record. NCBI's taxonomy places the organism in Eukaryota, Metazoa, Chordata, Testudines, Emydidae.